Molecule: long non-coding RNA, 2080 nt
Organism: Carassius auratus (goldfish)
Lineage: Eukaryota; Metazoa; Chordata; Actinopteri; Cypriniformes; Cyprinidae
Exons: 3
Source: RefSeq, a predicted model, not a curated record
AUCAUCUGAGAAGGUCAAUGUAGAAAUACCUGAAGAUAGACUUCUGGAACAAGUGAUGGCAAUGAAGGUAAACUUCACCAUCCUUUUCACAUUUAUUCCUCCAAAAUCUAUUGAUUCUUAGUCUUUAAAUACAUAUACAACUUGAAUCUUGGUGUGUUUGCUGUUUGACAGGUGGAAGAGGUGAAAAAACUAUGCAAGUCUUGUGGCAUGGACUUUUAGGAUCCAAAAUGGAUCUCAUUUUGCAGCUUCGCACAGAAAUAAAGAACCACAAAGUUGUUUACUGCUGAAAACAUCCAAUGUGCUAAAGAAGGGAAGCUCACAGUAAGCCUUCCAUGGUCAAUAAAGGCAAAGGAAACUCCUGAUAUAAAUGGGCAUCCAUUAAGAGGAUCGUCGGAGCAUUAUGUGCUCUAUGAUAAAUUGCAUGAGGGAAAUACAAAGGAUGACAAAGAUGUACUAAGGAAGAUUGAGCUUGUUUCCGAACUUGCUGGCCGUGUAUCAACAGUCAAGUGGUUGUAAUUUUUUCUCACAAAUGGAAAAAAAACAACUAUUUCUUAAACAUGAAUAAGCCAAGUACCCAGAUUUUAUUGAUCAGAAACAUAAUCCAUCACAGAAACUCCCAUCAUAAACACGGCAAGAAUGGAUCCGAUUAAGAAGUCUGGACGUUGAGCUUGUUACAUUGAACAAACAUGCACAAGCAGUCAUUGGUACUUCUAAUGAGAACAACAAGUUGGCAAAUGUAGCAGAAGUUAACGUGUGGACACCAGUGUGAGGCUCUCAGUCAAAUAGCAAACCUCAGGCCUUGCAGAGAUUCGUGGCCACAGAAGGGACAUCUCCUUCAAGAACAAAUGGUACGAUAGAAGGUUUGUUAUUUGCUGGGAUUUUAUUUAUAUUCAUUUUCUUUUUUUUUCUUUGGUCAUUUUCAGAUCAACUAUGUCUUGGAUGUGAGUAAACCAGCCAAUGAGCUGAUAAUUAAGGAGGGAUCAGUUUGCCUUACCCCAGACAAUUUGUUGUCUCUUAGUCUGCAAAGGAACAUAGACUCGUUUGUUUUCAUCUGUGUUGAUUCACACAAAACUCUACAUGUUUGAACAGAUUCUAUGACCGUUUCACUUCUGUUUUGUGACACUUCUGAGUACGUUAACCUAUAAGUUAUGCAAAAGAGUAUAAGUUAUGUGAAAAGCUAUCUUGAUUUCGGGAUAAAUAAUUGUAAUUGUAAUAAUAACAAUACACUUAAAAUUUAAUAACAAUGGAUUAGUUUCGUCAUGUCAGUGUUUUAGAAGAAAAGUUUCCCUCACGCCCCACAGGUAACUUUUACAUUAGGCCUAGCGUUAGCUAACGUUUCAGAUGCAAUGUCAAUUAAACGUGAAUCGAAAGGGAACCAACUGAUUUUCACAGUACUUAAACUAAACUUACCUCUGAGUUUCUGUGCUUCGUCUUCAGUGACAUGUAUUCCAGCUUCUUUUAGUUUUUCAAGAAGAUCCUCCGUUGACAACGUGGUGCACAAUCUUCUCUUCUUGCUACAAUCCCAUUGGACGACACAAAUUUAAAGAAUGCCUGCUGCAAAUAUGCGUUCUUGAACUUUGAUGCCAAGCUAAAGUACACCAUAUAAGGUUAAAUAAACGUCAAAUAAUUUUGUCUAUAUUGUGCUUUUGCUAAGAAAAAUUACGUUUUCUCUUACUCUAAAUUACAGCUCUUAUACAAGUAAAAAAAAAAAUACAGGCUUACACUAAUACAUGUUAAAAAGUUAUUAUUUUGAUGCGCUGUACAAUCCAUAAAAUAUAAUGUGCUUUGCUGCAGCCUGGAAUUGAACUACUGGUUUUGUCUGGUCAGAGGAGAACUGGCCCUCCAACUGAGCCUGGUUUCUCCCCAGGUUUUUUCUCCAUUCCGUCACCGAUGGAGUUUUGGUUCCUUGCCGCUGUCGCCUCUGGCUUGCUUAGUUGGGGUCACUUCAUCUACAGUGAUAUCGUUCACUUGAUUGGAAAUAAAUGCAAAGACACUAUAUAACCGAACAGAAAUGACAUCACUGAAUUCAAUGAUGAACUGCCUUUAACUAUCAUUUUGGAUUAUUGACACUGUUUUCCUA